CGCCCCGUAAUAAAAAUAGGGGUGUACUAUAAAAGAUACGGUCAGCAUCGGCGGCCAAAAGUUCAGUACCAGGAGGGGCUACUGUCCGGUCGGGACCAGGUACUACUCCAGUAAGAGGAACCCCCUCAGCCGGGGGAGGCCCCUCCGGGGUCGAGGCAUCUUCAAAACUAGAACCCGAAUAAGAAGUAUUCUCAUACUGGCUGCCUUCGUCACUGUCACUAGCCACGCCACCGCCACCGC
Molecule: long non-coding RNA, 240 nt
Filed under: Vigna radiata
Lineage: Eukaryota; Viridiplantae; Streptophyta; Magnoliopsida; Fabales; Fabaceae
Description: long non-coding RNA (VRAD_LNC014830)
Source: RNAcentral